Molecule: long non-coding RNA, 2240 nt
Filed under: Gallus gallus (chicken)
Lineage: Eukaryota; Metazoa; Chordata; Aves; Galliformes; Phasianidae
Description: lncRNA (ENSGALG00010029797.1)
Source: RNAcentral
GUCAGCUCCUGCUCCCCAAAACUUGGGAGGACUUUGCUGUUUGCUGCUCUACGGUAGAAAGAGACCUUCGUGGUCUUUCCUCUCCAAGGACAGCACCGGUUGCCUGAGCAAGUGAUGGUCACCUGUAUUCACAGGUGUUUCGAAGUUUCUUAAUGUUAAAAAGGAAGAGGAAAGAAGCUGUUUGCAGAGGUGCAUCCACUCUCUUCCACUCUUGCUAUGCUCGGUGAUCAAAUGGGAGCGGUCUUUCUCAUGUUUCUGCUCCUCAUUUGCCUCCUGCAUGUAAGAUUAUAACAACAUCUGCUCCGAACCUCUGUAGGCAUCUACACAAAGUAUUCCCCCUCCGGUCCUCCCAGAGCACACACCCGAUGGAAGGAGAAAAAAAUGCCCUUUCCUACAACUCCAGCCAGCCCGUCCUGCUUGGACCAUCCACGCUGUUCUGCCACCCUUGGAAUUCUCCCAUCGUAGGUGGUGUGUUGCCUGCCUGGGAGCUCCUGCAGCCCUGCCUGCGUGGAGGAACAAGGAUGUGAUAAUACCGGGCCCUGGAGCUGCAAAUGCAGAACGAACCAAGGAGUAAAAGAAUUGACAAGACAAGCAGUGGUGGGAAAUGGAGGGAAGACUGUGAAAAAGGUUAUAAUAAAUAAUAAGAAAUGUUGCAUGGGCCAAAGGAAUAAUAGAUCAGCGAUGGAAAGACUCUAAAAGCUGCUGAGGGUUAUUUAUUGAUGGACAUUGUUUAAAAGAAAAAAAAAUCAGUGACAGUUUUCCUUCGUGUUCACCAAGGCAGAUGGCGGGGCAGGUGCCAGAAUGAAAGAUAAAUUUCCUUUUGCAUAAAGAAGAAAUAUUGAAGGAAACUGAGCAGAGGUGAUGGAGAAAUUAGAGCGUUGAAAGACCCUGAAAGCACGCGGUCCAUGUCAGCCCUCUCUCAGGAUUUUCAGCUGAGUCAGCAGAAAGCAGGAAAAACUGUUGCGGGAAAUGAGAACCUCUUUGAAGACCAGUAAUGGAGAGGUUCCUGCAAGUGUCACGUCCAGAGGUCUGAGGAAAGCCUUCCAGGAAUUAAAGUUGGUGGUGCAGAAGGUACCUCCGCGUGGCUGAGUGGCCAACGUGCAUCGUAAUCUGGGACUGCAGUAGAGACAUAGUUAGAAGUUAUGAAUGUAAUGAAGGGAAACCAUCAAAGAUUCAGAAAUUGGAAGCUGGGCCAAUAAUGGGAGAGGAAAACGGACAGAGGGUUUCUGAGGACUUUGUGCAAAUCAUGAGCCAGGGAGAGCCAAGAGAUACAACUUGUGCAGUGGCAGCAAAGGUUGGGUGUAACACGUUCAAAAAGCAUAACAUGGAGUGGAAGUGAUGAGUGUGGGACAUGGAAGCGCCUGGUGGAGCUCUGAGCUGGUGGUACACACAGAGCUGCUGUGAGGAUGCAUUGGUUUCUGUUGCCUUGGCUGUGAGCGGGGGGUUGGGGGGGUCUGUGGGCACCGGAGUGAAUGUAACUGAGGUACAAGAGAGACAUGAGGAAAGGAACAAACCCUGCAGGAGCUGAGGGCACCUGGCCUGGCUGGGGAACCUGCAGGGUGGGUCCAUCCCAAGGCCAGCAGCUGUGCCUCUGCAACAUGUGCUAGGGAGUUCUAAUUAACAGCUCUCCAACCGUCCCUGCAGUGGGUGAGUGCAAAUUAGACGGCUGUUGUAAACAUGGUGAAUCAGACUUGCCAACGGUUAACCAGGAGGAAAACCGUUUAUCUGAGAGUGGAGUUUGUUUUUUGGGGGGCAAAACAGCAUCACUGUGGGUCUGUCCCCAUGGCCGUUCAUCUGAUAUCCAAACAGCAUUAAAUCACUCAUCGUUUUGCUCACAGUCAGCAGGUAAUGGGGGCUGACAGGAAGGAUCUGUUACUGCGUGUCCUCACGUCUUUGUUUCAGGGAAGCCUCCUGCCCUCCUACAGCGGAGGAACGUGGCAGCCUGCACCCACGUUUGCGCACACAAACCCCACCCUGUCGGCUGAAACCCCUCAGAAAGUCCCAUCGGGUGAUGGCCGUGACGGGGUUGUAGGGGGCCUUCAUCAGCCCUCAGCUGGGGGGUCUGCGGUGUAAGGAGGGAGCGAGGAGGGAGGUUCUCCAGCACAGCUGCACCGCAGAGCUCGCGCUGCCUGGGGGGCCCGGCCCGCCUCGGUCCUCAAACAGAAGGAAGCGAGGAAAAGACGACGCCGCGCGUCCCCUGGAAGCAGGGCAUGCCCGCCGCUCCCCGACGGCCGCAGCAG